UGCAGUCGAGCGAACAGAAGGGAGCUUGCUCCCGGAUGUUAGCGGCGGACGGGUGAGUAACACGUGGGUAACCUGCCUGUAAGACUGGGAUAACUCCGGGAAACCGGAGCUAAUACCGGAUAGUUCCUUGAACCGCAUGGUUCAAGGAUGAAAGACGGUUUCGGCUGUCACUUACAGAUGGACCCGCGGCGCAUUAGCUAGUUGGUGGGGUAAUGGCUCACCAAGGCGACGAUGCGUAGCCGACCUGAGAGGGUGAUCGGCCACACUGGGACUGAGACACGGCCCAGACUCCUACGGGAGGCAGCAGUAGGGAAUCUUCCGCAAUGGACGAAAGUCUGACGGAGCAACGCCGCGUGAGUGAUGAAGGUUUUCGGAUCGUAAAGCUCUGUUGUUAGGGAAGAACAAGUGCGAGAGUAACUGCUCGCACCUUGACGGUACCUAACCAGAAAGCCACGGCUAACUACGUGCCAGCAGCCGCGGUAAUACGUAGGUGGCAAGCGUUGUCCGGAAUUAUUGGGCGUAAAGGGCUCGCAGGCGGUUUCUUAAGUCUGAUGUGAAAGCCCCCGGCUCAACCGGGGAGGGUCAUUGGAAACUGGGAAACUUGAGUGCAGAAGAGGAGAGUGGAAUUCCACGUGUAGCGGUGAAAUGCGUAGAGAUGUGGAGGAACACCAGUGGCGAAGGCGACUCUCUGGUCUGUAACUGACGCUGAGGAGCGAAAG
RNAcentral lists this ribosomal RNA (719 nucleotides) under Bacillus safensis. RNAcentral describes it as "bacterial SSU rRNA". It matches the Rfam family "Bacterial small subunit ribosomal RNA", at positions 56 to 759 of the family's 1533-position model. The record is from RNAcentral. Lineage: Bacteria; Bacillati; Bacillota; Bacilli; Caryophanales; Bacillaceae.